RNAcentral lists this transfer RNA (1058 nucleotides) under Sus scrofa (pig). Its description in RNAcentral is "lncRNA (ENSSSCG00025068551.1)". Lineage: Eukaryota; Metazoa; Chordata; Mammalia; Artiodactyla; Suidae. The record is from RNAcentral.
GCACUUUGGUGGCACUAAGGACACAUGUUCUAGUUUUCAUAGGUAUUGCUAAGUUACUCUUCAAAGAGAUCAUAACAGCUUGUUUUUACACUUAAUGUUUGAACGUGUAUUUUUCCCACUGCCUCACCAACACCAUAUAAUGAAAACCUUAACAGUUUUUUGGCCACUUUUAAUAUAUGAAAUCUUAGAGUUUCCUGGUGGUUCACUGGGUUAAGGACCCAGCAUCGUCAUUGCUGAGGCUCAGGUCACUGCAGUGGCAUAGGUUUGAUCCCUGGCCUGGAAACUUGGCCUACACCACAGCCACAGCAAUGCAGGAUCAGAGCCGCAUUUGCGACCUACACCACAGCUCAUGGCAACACCAGAUCCUUAACCCACUGAGUGAGGCCAGGGAUCAAACCUGCAUCCUCAUGGAUCCUAGUCAGGUUCAUUAACUGCUGAGCUGUGAAGGGAACUCCUGCCUGGAAACUUCCAUACGCCAUUGUUUCGGCAAAAAAAAGAGCCUCAAGGAAAUCAGAACUGGCAGAAGCAGUCAGUUUUAAAUCCAGGGCCCUGAAUAAAACUUUGGGAAAGAAUGCAUCACCCACGCUCAAAGCACAAAGCCUCCCCGCCCCUUUCUUCUGGCCUCUGAUACAAAUUGAACAGGGAGAGAACAGAGAAACCAUAACUCUUCCUGUCCCCCCAAGCCCCACUGUUUUGUCAAAAUGGAAAUUGUUUCUAAUCGUCUUCCAACAAGAACACUGUCUGUGGGAGAAAAUAUUUGCAAAUGAAGUGACUGACAAGGGAUUAAUCUCCAAAAUUUAUAAACACCUCCUGCAGCUCAAUACCAAAAGAAAACAAACAACCCCACCAAAAGAUGGGCAGAAGAUCUAAACAGACAACUCUCCAAAGAAGACAUAUGGAUAGCCAAAAAACGCAUGAAAAGAUGUUCAACAUCACUCAUUAUUAGAGAAAUGCAAAUCAAAACUACUAUGAGGUACCACCUUUCACCAGCCAGAAUGGCUGUCAUCAAAAACUCUACAAACAAUAAAUGCUGGAGAGGGUGUGGAGAAAAAGGGAAC